This 504-nucleotide ribosomal RNA is filed under the name uncultured bacterium. Its description in RNAcentral is "bacterial SSU rRNA". It matches the Rfam family "Bacterial small subunit ribosomal RNA", at positions 321 to 842 of the family's 1533-position model. The record is from RNAcentral.
GAGACACGGCCCAGACUCCUACGGGAGGCAGCAGUGGGGAAUAUUGCACAAUGGGGGAAACCCUGAUGCAGCGACGCCGCGUGAAGGAAGAAGUAUCUCGGUAUGUAAACUUCUAUCAGCAGGGAAGAAAAUGACGGUACCUGAUUAAGAAGCCCCGGCUAACUACGUGCCAGCAGCCGCGGUAAUACGUAGGGGGCAAGCGUUAUCCGGAUUUACUGGGUGUAAAGGGAGCGUAGACGGAAGAGCAAGUCUGAUGUGAAAGGCUGGGGCUUAACCCCAGGACUGCAUUGGAAACUGUUUUUCUAGAGUGCCGGAGAGGUAAGCGGAAUUCCUAGUGUAGCGGUGAAAUGCGUAGAUAUUAGGAGGAACACCAGUGGCGAAGGCGGCUUACUGGACGGUAACUGACGUUGAGGCUCGAAAGCGUGGGGAGCAAACAGGAUUAGAUACCCCGGUAGUCCACGCCGUAAACGAUGAAUACUAGGUGUCGGGUGGCAAAGCCAUUCG